UGCCAGACUCCUACGGGAGGCAGCAGUGAGGAAUAUUGGUCAAUGGGCGAGAGCCUGAACCAGCCAAGUCGCGUGAGGGAUGACUGCCCUAUGGGUUGUAAACCUCUUUUGUAUGGGGGGAAUAAGCUUUACGAGUAGAGUGAUGACAGUACCAUACGAAUAAGCACCGGCUAACUCCGUGCCAGCAGCCGCGGUAAUACGGGGGGUGCAAGCGUUGUCCGGAAUCAUUGGGCGUAAAGAGUUCGUAGGCGGCACGUAAAGUCUGGUGUUAAAGGCAGAGGCUCAACUUCUGUACGGCACUGGAUACUUGCGAGCUAGAAUGCGGUAGAGGUAAAGGGAAUUCCUGGUGUAGCGGUGAAAUGCUUAGAUAUCAGGAGGAACAUCGGUGGCGUAAGCGCUUUACUGGGCCGUAAUUGACGCUGAGGAACGAAAGCCAGGGUAGCAAAUGGGAUUAGAUACCCUAGUAGUA
RNAcentral lists this ribosomal RNA (469 nucleotides) under uncultured bacterium. RNAcentral describes it as "bacterial SSU rRNA". It matches the Rfam family "Bacterial small subunit ribosomal RNA", at positions 329 to 795 of the family's 1533-position model. The record is from RNAcentral.